UACGUAGGGUGCAAGCGUUGUCCGGAAUUAUUGGGCGUAAAGAGCUCGUAGGCGGUUCGUCGCGUCGGCUGUGAAAUCCCGAGGCUCAACCUCGGGUCUGCAGUCGAUACGGGCGGACUGGAGUUCGGCAGGGGAGACUGGAAUUCCGUGGUGUAGCGGUGAAAUGCGCAGAUAAUCAGGAGGAACACCGGUGGCGAAGGCGGGUCUCUGGGCCGAUGACUGACGCUGAGGAGCGAAAGCGUGGGGAGCGAACAGG
RNAcentral lists this ribosomal RNA (256 nucleotides) under uncultured bacterium. RNAcentral describes it as "partial 16S ribosomal RNA". It matches the Rfam family "Bacterial small subunit ribosomal RNA", at positions 524 to 776 of the family's 1533-position model. The record is from RNAcentral.